This 226-nucleotide unclassified non-coding RNA is filed under the name uncultured Geminibasidium. RNAcentral describes it as "sequence contains ITS2". Lineage: Eukaryota; Fungi; Basidiomycota; Geminibasidiomycetes; Geminibasidiales; Geminibasidiaceae. The record is from RNAcentral.
ACACCUCAACCCUCUAAUGUUUUUGCAUUGAAGGCGUUGGUAGUGAGCGCUGCCGGUCUUUGGGUCGGCUCGCUUUAAAAUAAUUAGCUGGAUCCAUUCUGACCUGGUUCUACUCGGUGUAAUAAGUUAUUAUCGUCGAGGACGCCUAGCCUUCUAGGCAGGCGGCCACAGUAAGGGUGUUUGAACCGCUUCCAACACGUCUUGCUCUUGUAGCAAACACUUGAAC